Molecule: ribosomal RNA, 253 nt
Filed under: uncultured bacterium
Lineage: Bacteria
Description: partial 16S ribosomal RNA
Rfam family: Bacterial small subunit ribosomal RNA
Source: RNAcentral
UACGAAGGGGGCUAGCGUUGCUCGGAAUCACUGGGCGUAAAGCGCACGUAGGCGGAUCUUUAAGUCAGGGGUGAAAUCCUGGAGCUCAACUCCAGAACUGCCUUUGAUACUGGCAUUCUUGAGUCCGAGAGAGGUGAGUGGAAUUCCGAGUGUAGAGGUGAAAUUCGUAGAUAUUCGGAAGAACACCAGUGGCGAAGGCGGCUCACUGGCUCGGAACUGACGCUGAGGUGCGAAAGCGUGGGGAGCAAACAGG